This 414-nucleotide ribosomal RNA is filed under the name uncultured bacterium. RNAcentral describes it as "partial 16S ribosomal RNA". It matches the Rfam family "Bacterial small subunit ribosomal RNA", at positions 355 to 782 of the family's 1533-position model. The record is from RNAcentral.
UGGGGAAUAUUGGACAAUGGGCGGAAGCCUGAUCCAGCAACGCCGCGUGAGGGAUGACGGCCUUCGGGUUGUAAACCUCUUUCAGUACCGACGAAGCGAAAGUGACGGUAGGUACAGAAGAAGGACCGGCCAACUACGUGCCAGCAGCCGCGGUAAUACGUAGGGUCCGAGCGUUGUCCGGAAUUAUUGGGCGUAAAGGGCUCGUAGGCGGUUUGUCGCGUCGGGAGUGAAAACAGCGGGCUUAACUCGUUGCUUGCUUUCGAUACGGGCAGACUAGAGGUAUGCAGGGGAGAAUGGAAUUCCUGGUGUAGCGGUGAAAUGCGCAGAUAUCAGGAGGAACACCGGUGGCGAAGGCGGUUCUCUGGGCAUUACCUGACGCUAGGAGCGAAAGUGUGGGGAGCGAACAGAGUUAGU